AAAUUGAAAUCGCUGUGAAGAUGCAGCGUUCCCGUGGCAAGACGGAAAGACCCCGUGAACCUUUACUAUAGCUUUACACUGAACGUUGAGUUCGUCUGUGUAGGAUAGGUGGGAGGCUAUGAAACUGUGGCGCUAGCUGCAGUGGAGCCAUCCUUGAAAUACCACCCUGAUGUGCUUGACGUUCUAACCUGGGCCCGUAAUCCGGGUCGGGGACCGUGUAUGGUGGGUAGUUUGACUGGGGCGGUCUCCUCCUAA
Molecule: ribosomal RNA, 255 nt
Filed under: Xanthomonas sp. XNM01
Lineage: Bacteria; Pseudomonadati; Pseudomonadota; Gammaproteobacteria; Lysobacterales; Lysobacteraceae
Description: Bacterial large subunit ribosomal RNA
Rfam family: Bacterial large subunit ribosomal RNA
Source: Rfam by way of RNAcentral